UAGUCAUGAUUGGUUGCUUUUGGGGUGGGU
Molecule: non-coding RNA, 30 nt
Filed under: Mus musculus (house mouse)
Lineage: Eukaryota; Metazoa; Chordata; Mammalia; Rodentia; Muridae
Source: RNAcentral